GUCCGCACUGUAAACGAUGAUUACUCGUUGCUGGGGAGCAAUUCUCAGUGACUAAGCGAAAGCGAUAAGUAAUCCACCUGGGGAGUACGCCGGCAACGGUGAAACUCAAAGGAAUUGACGGGGGCCCGCACAAGCGGAGGAGCAUGUUGUUUAAUUCGAUGAUACGCGAGGAACCUUACCAGGGCUUGAAAGUUAGUGACCGCUCCUGAAAGGGAGCUUUCCGCAAGGACACGAAACUAGGUGCUGCAUGGCUGUCGU
This 258-nucleotide ribosomal RNA is filed under the name uncultured bacterium. Its description in RNAcentral is "partial 16S ribosomal RNA". It matches the Rfam family "Bacterial small subunit ribosomal RNA", at positions 793 to 1055 of the family's 1533-position model. The record is from RNAcentral.